This 405-nucleotide RNase P RNA is filed under the name Bacteroidota bacterium. RNAcentral's name for it is "Bacteroidetes bacterium RNase P RNA component class A". It matches the Rfam family "Bacterial RNase P class A". From Rfam's summary of the family: Ribonuclease P (RNase P) is a ubiquitous endoribonuclease, found in archaea, bacteria and eukarya as well as chloroplasts and mitochondria. Its best characterised activity is the generation of mature 5'-ends of tRNAs by cleaving the 5'-leader elements of precursor-tRNAs. Cellular RNase Ps are ribonucleoproteins. Lineage: Bacteria; Pseudomonadati; Bacteroidota. The record is from RNAcentral.
CGUGUCGGCCGGAUCAUCGCCUUGUCGAAAGGCAGGGAGGAAAGUCCGAACUCCACAGGGUAUCGUACUUCCUAACAGGAAGGCAUCGUAAUUUCGAUGACGGCAAGUGCAACAGAAAGUAUACCAGCCGAUGGACCUACCAAGUCCAGGUGAUGGGUGAAAUGGUGUGGGUAAGAGCCCACCAGCGCCAUGGGAGACCUUGGCGGCUAGGUAAACCCUACGAGGAGCAAGGCCAAACAGUGUCGCACGCGCAAGCGAUAAGGUGACCCGCCGAACUGCGAUGCGGGUAGGUUGCCAGAGGCCAAUGGUGACAUUGGUCCUAGAUAGAUGAUGAUCCUUCCGGCUUCGCUGCAUGGUGGACGCAGCACCGGAUGACAGAAUUCGGCUUAUAGGUCAGCACGUACC